UAAAAUAAUUAAGGGCACAUAGGGAAUGCCUAGGUAGUAAGAGCCGAUGAAGGACGUGGUAAGCUGCGAUAAGCUCAGGGUAGUUGCAAUCGAACGUUGAUCCUGAGAUUUCCGAAUGGAGCAAUCCGCUAAGUUGAAGACUUAGCACGAAAGAGGGUACCGCGUGAACUGAAACAUCUAAGUAACGCGAGGAAAAGAAAGUAAAAACGAUUCCCCAAGUAGCGGCGAGCGAACGGGGAUGAGCCCAAACCGCAUAAAUGCCAAGGAUGCAGCCGUUGUUUAUGCGGGGUUGUGGGAAGAACCACGAGGAACUGCAACGUACUCAACAAUGUUAAUGACUGAACUGGAACUAGUUGGAAAGCUAGAUCGUAGAAGGUGAUAAUCCUGUACAGGUAAACUCAUUAACUUGUCCGUUCUCUCCCAAGUAACAUGGAACACGAGGAAUUCUGUGUGAAUCUGCGAGGACCAUAUCUCGUAAGGCUAAAUACUCUUACUAACCGAUAGCGUAUAGUACCGUGAGGGAAAGGUGAAAAGAACCCCGGGAGGGGAGUGAAAGAGAACCUGAAACCCUGCACUUACAAGCUGUAGGAGCACAUUAUUUGUGUGACUGCGUACUUUUUGUAGAACGGGCCAACGAGUUACGUUGUGUAGCAAGGUUAAGCACUUAAGGUGUGGAGCCGUAGCGAAAGCGAGUCUUAAAUGGGCGUCCAGUUACCCGACGUAGACCCGAAACCAGGCGACCUAUCCAUGAGCAGGUUGAAGCGAAAGUAAAAUUUCGUGGAGGACCGAACCCACGUACGUUGAAAAGUGCGGGGAUGACUUGUGGAUAGCGGUGAAAUUCCAAUCGAGCCUGGAGAUAGCUGGUUCUCCCCGAAAUAGCUUUAGGGCUAGCCUCAAGCUUAGAGAAACGGAGGUAGAGCACUGAAUGUCCUAGGGGGUAUUGCACUUACCGAAGACUAUCAAACUCCGAAUGCCGUAUUCUUUUGCUUGGGAGUCAGACUAUGGGUGAUAAGAUUCAUAGUCAAGAGGGCAACAGCCCAGAUCGUCAGCUAAGGUCCCUAAAUGUAAGUUAAGUGGUAAAGGAUGUGGAAUUGCACAGACAACCAGGAUGUUGGCUUAGAAGCAGCCACUCAUUUAAAGAGUGCGUAAUAGCUCACUGGUCGAGUGAUUCUGCGCCGAAAAUUUCCGGGGCUAAAACUUACUACCGAAGCUACGGCAUCAUUAUGAUGGGUAGGGGAGCUUUCUAUGUGGCUUGAAGCAUGACCGUAAGGACAUGUGGACUGCAUAGAAGUGAGAAUGUUGGCAUGAGUAGCGAGAUGUGGGUGAGAAUCCCACAGGCCGUAAACCCAAGGUUUCCAGGGGAAGGUUCGUCCGCCCUGGGUUAGUCAGGACCUAAGCCGAGGCCGAAAGGCGUAGGUGAUGGACAACAGGUUGAUAUUCCUGUACCACCAAUAACCGUUUGAGAAAUGGGAUGACACAGUAGGAUAAGCUAACCGCACUGUUGGUUAUGUGCGGGCAAGUAUUGAGGCAGUUCCGAUAGGCAAAUCCGUCGGAAUAAUGCUGGGGUACGAUGCGGAGCGAAAUUUAGUAGCGAAGUAGCUGAUUUCACACUGUCGAGAAAAGUCUCUAUCGAGGUUAAAGGUGCCUGUACCGCAAACCGACACAGGUGGGUGAGGAGAGUAUCCUAAGGCCAGCGAGAGAACUGUUGUUAAGGAACUCGGCAAAAUGACCCCGUAACUUAGGGAGAAGGGGUGCCUUCGAAAGAAGGCCGCAGAGAAUAGGCCCAAGCGACUGUUUACCAAAAACAUAGGUUUCUGCUAAGUCGCAAGACGAUGUAUAGGAGCUGACGCCUGCCCGGUGCUGGAAGGUUAAGGGGAUCUGUUAGAGCAAUCGAAGCAGUGAACUUAAGCCCCAGUAAACGGCGGCCGUAACUAUAACGGUCCUAAGGUAGCGAAAUUCCUUGUCGGGUAAGUUCCGACCCGCACGAAAGGCGUAACGAUUUGGGCACUGUCUCAACAACAGACUCGGUGAAAUUGUAAUACCGGUGAAGAUGCCGGUUACCUGCGACAGGACGGAAAGACCCCAUGGAGCUUUACUGUAGCUUGACAUUGAGUCUCGGUGCUACAUGUACAGGAUAGGUGGGAGACUAUGAAGCAUGGACGUCAGUCUGUGUGGAGUCAUCCUUGGGAUACCACCCUUGUAGUACUGGGAUUCUAACCAGAGGCCAUGAAUCUGGUCUUGGGACACUGUCAGGUGGACAGUUUGACUGGGGCGGUCGCCUCCCAAAAAGUAACGGAGGCGCUCAAAGGUUCUCUCAGUACGGUCGGAAAUCGUACGAAGAGUGUAAAGGCAAAAGAGAGCUUGAUUGCAAGACAUACAGGUCGAGCAAGGACGAAAGUCGGACUUAGUGAUCCGGUGGUUCCGCAUGGAAGGGCCAUCGCUCAACGGAUAAAAGCUACCCUGGGGAUAACAGGCUUAUCUCCCCCAAGAGUUCACAUCGACGGGGAGGUUUGGCACCUCGAUGUCGGCUCAUCGCAUCCUGGGGCUG
This 2548-nucleotide ribosomal RNA is filed under the name metagenome. Its description in RNAcentral is "bacterial LSU rRNA". It matches the Rfam family "Bacterial large subunit ribosomal RNA", at positions 1 to 2555 of the family's 2925-position model. The record is from RNAcentral.